UUCCGGUUGAUCCUGCCGGACCCCACUGCUAUCGGGAUGGGACUAAGACAUGCUAGUCGUGCGCCUUCCAGCCAUAUGGGAGGCGCGGCGCACAGCUCAGUAACACGUUGCUAACCUGCCCUUGGGACGGGAACACCCCCGGGAAACUGGGGCUAAUUCUCGAUAGGUGAAGAACUCUGGAAUGAGUCUUCGCCUAAAAGGCGUCGGAUCAUGCUUUCGGCGUCGCCCAAGGAUGGGGCUGCGACCGAUCAGGUUGUUGGUGAGGUAAUGGCCCACCAAGCCUAUAACCGGUGCGGGCCGUGAGAGCGGGAGCCCGGAGAUGGGCACUGGGACAAGGGCCCAGGUCCUACGGGGCGCAGCAGUCGCGAAACCUUUGCAAUACACGAAAGUGUGACAGGGUCAUCCCGAGUGCCGACCGCUGAGGUUGGCUUUUACCCAGUCUAGAAAGCUGGGAGAAUAAGGAGAGGGCAAGUCUGGUGUCAGCCGCCGCGGUAAUACCAGCUCUCCGAGUGGUGUGGACGUUUAUUGGGCCUAAAGCAUCCGUAGCUUGCUGAUCAAGUCCCCCGUUAAACCCACCGAUUUAAUCGUUGGCUUGCGGGGGAUACUGUUCGGCUAGGGGACGAGAGAGGCAGACGGUAUUCCCGGGGUAGGGGUGAAAUCCUAUAAUCCCGAGAAGACCACCAGUGGCGAAGGCUGUCUGCUAGAACGCGCCCGACGGUGAGGGAUGAAAGCUGGGGGAGCGAACCGGAUUAGAUACCCGGGUAGUCCCAGCUGUAAACGAUGCAGACUAGGUGUUUGGACGGCCACGUGCCGUUCUAGUGCCGCAGGGAAGCUGUUAAGUCUGCCGCCUGGGGAGUACGAUCGCAAGAUUGAAACUUAAAGGAAUUGGCGGGGGAGCACCACAAGGGGUGAAGCUUGCGGUUUAAUUGGAUUCAACGCCGGG
Molecule: ribosomal RNA, 943 nt
Filed under: uncultured archaeon
Lineage: Archaea
Description: bacterial SSU rRNA
Rfam family: Archaeal small subunit ribosomal RNA
Source: RNAcentral